RNAcentral lists this ribosomal RNA (2900 nucleotides) under Klebsiella pneumoniae. Its description in RNAcentral is "bacterial LSU rRNA". It matches the Rfam family "Bacterial large subunit ribosomal RNA". Lineage: Bacteria; Pseudomonadati; Pseudomonadota; Gammaproteobacteria; Enterobacterales; Enterobacteriaceae. The record is from RNAcentral.
UUAAGCGACUAAGCGUACACGGUGGAUGCCCUGGCAGUCAGAGGCGAUGAAGGACGUGCUAAUCUGCGAAAAGCGUCGGUAAGGUGAUAUGAACCGUUAUAACCGGCGAUGUCCGAAUGGGGAAACCCAGUGUGAUUCGUCACACUAUCGUUAACUGAAUACAUAGGUUAACGAGGCGAACCGGGGGAACUGAAACAUCUAAGUACCCCGAGGAAAAGAAAUCAACCGAGAUUCCCCCAGUAGCGGCGAGCGAACGGGGAGCAGCCCAGAGUCUGAAUCAGCUUGUGUGUUAGUGGAACGGUCUGGAAAGUCCGACGGUACAGGGUGAUAGUCCCGUACACCAAAAUGCACAGGUUGUGAACUCGAAGAGUAGGGCGGGACACGUGGUAUCCUGUCUGAAUAUGGGGGGACCAUCCUCCAAGGCUAAAUACUCCUGACUGACCGAUAGUGAACCAGUACCGUGAGGGAAAGGCGAAAAGAACCCCGGCGAGGGGAGUGAAAAAGAACCUGAAACCGUGUACGUACAAGCAGUGGGAGCACCUUCGGGUGUGACUGCGUACCUUUUGUAUAAUGGGUCAGCGACUUAUAUUCUGUAGCAAGGUUAACCGUAUAGGGGAGCCGCAGGGAAACCGAGUCUUAACUGGGCGUUAAGUUGCAGGGUAUAGACCCGAAACCCGGUGAUCUAGCCAUGGGCAGGUUGAAGGUUGGGUAACACUAACUGGAGGACCGAACCGACUAAUGUUGAAAAAUUAGCGGAUGACUUGUGGCUGGGGGUGAAAGGCCAAUCAAACCGGGAGAUAGCUGGUUCUCCCCGAAAGCUAUUUAGGUAGCGCCUCGUGAAUUCAUCUUCGGGGGUAGAGCACUGUUUCGGCUAGGGGGUCAUCCCGACUUACCAACCCGAUGCAAACUACGAAUACCGAAGAAUGUUAUCACGGGAGACACACGGCGGGUGCUAACGUCCGUCGUGAAGAGGGAAACAACCCAGACCGCCAGCUAAGGUCCCAAAGUCAUGGUUAAGUGGGAAACGAUGUGGGAAGGCACAGACAGCCAGGAUGUUGGCUUAGAAGCAGCCAUCAUUUAAAGAAAGCGUAAUAGCUCACUGGUCGAGUCGGCCUGCGCGGAAGAUGUAACGGGGCUAAACCAUGCACCGAAGCUGCGGCAGCGACACUAUGUGUUGUUGGGUAGGGGAGCGUUCUGUAAGCCUGCGAAGGUGGCCUGUGAGGGUUGCUGGAGGUAUCAGAAGUGCGAAUGCUGACAUAAGUAACGAUAAAGCGGGUGAAAAGCCCGCUCGCCGGAAGACCAAGGGUUCCUGUCCAACGUUAAUCGGGGCAGGGUGAGUCGACCCCUAAGGCGAGGCCGAAAGGCGUAGUCGAUGGGAAACAGGUUAAUAUUCCUGUACUUGGUGUUACUGCGAAGGGGGGACGGAGAAGGCUAUGUUAGCCGGGCGACGGUUGUCCCGGUUUAAGCAUGUAGGCUGGUUAUCCAGGCAAAUCCGGAUAAUCAAGGCUGAGGUGUGAUGACGAGGCACUACGGUGCUGAAGUAACAAAUGCCCUGCUUCCAGGAAAAGCCUCUAAGCAUCAGGUAACAUUAAAUCGUACCCCAAACCGACACAGGUGGUCAGGUAGAGAAUACCAAGGCGCUUGAGAGAACUCGGGUGAAGGAACUAGGCAAAAUGGUGCCGUAACUUCGGGAGAAGGCACGCUGGUGUGUAGGUGAAGUCCCUGCGGAUGGAGCUGAGACCAGUCGAAGAUACCAGCUGGCUGCAACUGUUUAUUAAAAACACAGCACUGUGCAAACACGAAAGUGGACGUAUACGGUGUGACGCCUGCCCGGUGCCGGAAGGUUAAUUGAUGGGGUUAUCCGUAAGGAGAAGCUCUUGAUCGAAGCCCCGGUAAACGGCGGCCGUAACUAUAACGGUCCUAAGGUAGCGAAAUUCCUUGUCGGGUAAGUUCCGACCUGCACGAAUGGCGUAAUGAUGGCCAGGCUGUCUCCACCCGAGACUCAGUGAAAUUGAACUCGCUGUGAAGAUGCAGUGUACCCGCGGCAAGACGGAAAGACCCCGUGAACCUUUACUAUAGCUUGACACUGAACAUUGAGCCUUGAUGUGUAGGAUAGGUGGGAGGCUUUGAAGCGUGGACGCCAGUCUGCGUGGAGCCAACCUUGAAAUACCACCCUUUAAUGUUUGAUGUUCUAACGUUGGCCCCUGACCGGGGUUGCGGACAGUGUCUGGUGGGUAGUUUGACUGGGGCGGUCUCCUCCCAAAGCGUAACGGAGGAGCACGAAGGUUAGCUAAUCCUGGUCGGACAUCAGGAGGUUAGUGCAAUGGCAUAAGCUAGCUUGACUGCGAGCGUGACGGCGCGAGCAGGUGCGAAAGCAGGUCAUAGUGAUCCGGUGGUUCUGAAUGGAAGGGCCAUCGCUCAACGGAUAAAAGGUACUCCGGGGAUAACAGGCUGAUACCGCCCAAGAGUUCAUAUCGACGGCGGUGUUUGGCACCUCGAUGUCGGCUCAUCACAUCCUGGGGCUGAAGUAGGUCCCAAGGGUAUGGCUGUUCGCCAUUUAAAGUGGUACGCGAGCUGGGUUUAGAACGUCGUGAGACAGUUCGGUCCCUAUCUGCCGUGGGCGCUGGAGAAUUGAGGGGGGCUGCUCCUAGUACGAGAGGACCGGAGUGGACGCAUCACUGGUGUUCGGGUUGUCAUGCCAAUGGCACUGCCCGGUAGCUAAAUGCGGAAGAGAUAAGUGCUGAAAGCAUCUAAGCACGAAACUUGCCCCGAGAUGAGUUCUCCCUGAGACUUUAAGUCUCCUGAAGGAACGUUGAAGACGACGACGUUGAUAGGCCGGGUGUGUAAGCGCAGCGAUGCGUUGAGCUAACCGGUACUAAUGAACCGUGAGGCUUAACCUU